RNAcentral lists this long non-coding RNA (6621 nucleotides) under Sus scrofa (pig). Its description in RNAcentral is "lncRNA (ENSSSCG00015064043.1)". The record is from RNAcentral. Lineage: Eukaryota; Metazoa; Chordata; Mammalia; Artiodactyla; Suidae.
UUUUUCUUUUUUUUUAUCAUUUAUUUAUAUAUGUAUAUAUAUAUAUAUAUUUCAACUGUACAGCAUGGAGACCCAGUUACACAUACAUAUAUACAUUCUUUUUUCUCACAUUACGUGUUCCAUCAUAAGUGACUAGACAGAGUUCCCAGUGUGACUCAUCAAGAUCCCAUCGCUAAUCCAUCCCAAAGGCAACAUUCUGCAUCUAUUUACCCCAAGCUGCUUACCAAGAGCUGUUCUUAAAAAGAAAUUCCAAUGCUGAAAAAAGCUGAGAAUGACUGAUGCAAUAGGAUCAUGACAGAGGAGUCCAAAAGAUCACAUUUAUUUUACAUCUUAGGAUGAAAACUCUCGAAACCAAACUCAAGGGUUUAUUACUACAAGUUUGGAAAGUUUGGACAGCACCAAGCACAUAUACCCACUGGGCUAAGGGAAUCCACCAGGGCUCUCAGCCUUACCUCUUUGCUGGGCUGGGGAGCAGACACGGCCACAUCCAUUGCUGGUGCAUCGUCUUCCUUCCCCACAGUCCUGGUCUACCUUGCACUCCGUCACACAGAUACCUACAUCUUGAGAAAAGACCGGGUUGAGAGGCUCACAUUAAACCAGUACUUAUCUUAUAAAUGACCCUGACCUCAUGACAGCAUUUUACAUUUUGAUCUGGUACUUCACUGUUUAAACAUGAUCUCACAUAGAACUUCAUCCCUCUAAUAAAAAAAGAUCCGAAGUAUUUACAGGACUAUUUGGAGCAUUUCCUUAGGACUGAAGUACCUGUAGGAAAGAAAGCUGCAAAGAAAGUCGGUUAAUGGUAACCCAAAUGGGCUUUAAUCAGUAGGUUUUCUUAUUUAUAUUUCACAGACGAGGACAUAGAGAGAUAUCUGGUCAAUGGCAGAGUUGGGAUUUGAAUUCAGGGCUAUUUGCCUUGAAAGCUCAUGUCCCUUUUGCUCUACAGCUCCGUGAAAUUAACCUUGAAUACAAAGUUGAGCCCCCAAAGGUCAAGAAAUUCUUUCUGAUGGAAGUAGACAGUUUCCUGGAUUCUAACCCCUAAAAAGGUCUCAGUGUGGCUACUUGCUAUUGAGGGAGAUGGAGUUGAAAGAUGGGGGCAGGCCUGGAAGCUGCAUCAAAGCCUUGGGUAAGAGAACACCACCUGUGCCAUCAUCACAGCACCAUCAACAAGAGAAUUCUCACUGCGGGUCCUGCCACCUGGCUGACCUGCUUCUACCACUAGCCCUGUCCUUCUCUCUCAGCCUCCCUUUUAUCAUCUGCAAACUGAGGUUGUCUUGGGUGUGGCCUGGGGAAGUGGGGGAAGACUAGACCACUUGAGUAACUCCUCAAAUGUGGCUGAUUCUCAGAGUCACCUGGGAGCUUUAGAAAGACCUACAGAGAGCAGGACCUGGUCCAGACCUGAUUGCUCAGGUUUUCCAGGGCUGAACCUAUAAAUGUAGAAUUUACUGAGUGUCCCCAUGGAUAGAGACCCUCCCAGAGCCAGUGUGCCUCCGACACUGUAGGAGUCCAGAAGCUGCUGCCAAUUUGAUAAGGAAGCUUGGGGACCAUAGCUGUCUCUCAGUAUUUAAUCCUUCCUUCCUUCCUUCCUUCCUUCUUUCCUUCCUUCCUUCCUUCCUUCCUUCCUUCCUUCCUUCCUACAUUGUUCAUUUACUCAUUCAUACAUUCCCUUGUACCUAAUUCAUUUCCUUAUUCUUUUUUUAAAAAGUACCUACUAUAUGUAAGGGACAGGACUAGAUGUUUCAGGGAGUAGAGAUGUAAGUCAGGGUUUGUGUCAGCAAGGCAGAAAAAACCUGGGAUGGGAAAUCCAAGCUCUCCUAUAAGUACAUUUCCCAGCACUAUACAUGUAGUAAGUACCAUGAAAGAGGUACUGCAAAGAGAUAAAGGAUAGGAGUGGCUUAACCAUUACUGUGCUAGAAAAUAAGCUGGGGUUUAAAUGCCCACACAGAGACAUGUGUCUGCACAAACAGACAAAAUUUAGAUUUCAGGAGCAGAUGCUAGGAAAGGGCUGAUCCAAAGAAUGAAUGGAGCCCUUCCUAAGAGUUACCAUCCUCAUUUUAUCACUUUAACAAAUUAUUCAAUUUAGGAGUUCCCUGUGGCCGAGUUGGAUAAGGACCUCCCUGCUUUAGCCUGGGUUCAAGCCAUGACCUGGAAACUUCCACAUGCUGCAGGAGCAGCCAAAAAACUCCACAAAACCAAAGGAAAUUAUACACUUUAUAAACUGUCAACUAUUGCGAAAAAGUUCACAAUCUCUAUAGAACUUUAUAGUUUAAAGAGUGGUUUCACCAGGUACAUGAAUGAACAGAGAUGAUUUUAUUCUUAGAUGUUGAUCCAAUGUAUUUAUGGCUCUCGACUCUUCCUAGAUUCUGCCUACCCAAUGCCCUACCCUCUUUAGUCAAUGGCAAUCUGAGUUUCCUGGCAAGGGCACACCAGCCUGGAGUAAAGGAGCCAGGGCUUGGCAGUGAGUUUUAAACUAGGCUCUGUUGAAUUAGACAACAACAGGCUCUGCUGAGCAAGAAAGGGUUUUGUAAAUGUCAGAAGUGCCUCUUUACACAUACAAGGCUUAGAACUCUGAGCAGAGAGAAGAUGCAGGACAUAUGUGAGUUCUCAUCCCACAGAAAAGGGCAAAGUCUUUCUGAUUAAUGAAGAAGAGGGGGUGGGGAAGCAGUAUCAGAAGGAAGGAAGGAGGGAGUGAGAGGAGAGGAAAGGGAAGGGACUAUUGAUGAAAACAAACAUUCAUAACCUCUUUCACUCCUAAGAAGUAUAUUCUGGAGGACACAUUUCCACAGAUAGACAAAAAUUAAAAUUCAUUAAAGUUUCCUGAGCAACAGCCAAAAAUGUCAUGUAAAUAAAAUGACCACCAAAGGACUGGUUAAAUGGAUUAUGAUAAAUUUACUCAUUAGUAAUCAUUUCAUCCAAAAAGAAUGAGAUGCAUUUAUGUUGACAUGGAAAGAUGUCCAUUUUUAAUGUUAAAUUGUAAAAGAUAUAUGUAAAACAUGAUAGGAUACCUUAUACAAGACAAUGGGAUAUAUGUUAAUUUAUGCAAAUUGAGGCCAUAAUAUAAAGCUUGUGCUAAUUUCCUUAUGCUUCACAGACAGACCUGGGCUCUCCCCAUCCUUAUCUAUGUGGCCACAGGUAAGUCAUCUCACUGCUCUAAGCCUGGUGUCCUCAGCUGUAUAACACUGAUACCUGGCACGACUCUAACUCUGAGAUGUAAAAGCAGUGAUCUCAGAACCUGCCUGGCAAAUAGCAGGAGAUCAGGACUUGCUUCUUCCCACAGUGCCUGUGUAUCUGUCAGGAAUCAGUUAAUACAGGAGGUUGGUAAAGCCUUCUAGACACCAAAUAUUGUCAAAUAGUUCACACUGCAGUAUUUCAAAGACACAAGGAAUUUGUUGUAUCCAAUAAGUUACAAAACACAUUGAGUCCACUGGAUAAUCAAUCAUCAUGGGGUUGCCUGCCAUUGUGUACAUAAUUAUGUUGUCCAGUUGGGGGCACUGUUUGCAGUGUGAGUGGGGUGACUUAAGGAAGAGGAUAGAAAGGAAUCAGGGGAUGGGAGAGCCAAAGCAAAGAAACUAGGUUCAAUCUUUUGUGUUCUCAUCUAUAAAAUAGAGGUGAGAGGAAUACCUCCAUCUCUGCUCCCUAAAGUUCUCAAGAUUAAACAAAAUCAUGGAUUUUGAAAAGACCUGGGGAGUUCCCGUUGCGGCACAGUGAUUAACCAUGAAAACACCCGGCACAGAGAGAUUGCCCAAUGGGUGUUUUUCACUCUCACACUCCGGAGGAUGCCAACUUAUUGCAAAGGAUUAUUGAAACAAUCUCUAAAAACAAGUAAAUAGUUCAUAAACAUCACUGAAGUUUGUUGAUAAACUGCAUGAGAUUUAAAAACCAUAAACUCAUAUGAAAUUUCUACCAUUGUCAAAUAGUGAAAAAUGAAAAUAUAGCCAGCAUUAUGAAGUUUAUCAAACUUUUUUUAAAAAAUAACACUUAAUAUUUAUAUAUGUAUGUAUGUAUUGGCAGCUCUGCAGCAGAUGGAGUUGCUGAGCCAGGGAUCAGAGUCACAUGUGUGACCUAUGCCACGGAAACUGCAACCCUGCAGCUUUAAACCCAUUGUGCCGGGCUGGGGAUCAAACCCUCAUCCUGGCACUGCAGAGAUGCCGCUGAUCCCAUUGGGCCACAGUGGGAACUGCUAUCAAACUUGGUGACAAACACAGUGCAUCCUCACAACAGCAAACUGGCAAAGUAUCUUUGGAUCAAAAAAAACAUGCCUGCUCUUUGAGUCAGCAGUACCAUUUCUAGGAAUGUUUCCCAGGCAAAUAAUCAAGUUACACAUGGAAAGAUUUUGUUCUGAGAGACUCUUUGAUAGCAAAAUAUCAGAGAAGUUUCAAAGUCCCGUGGUCAAGAAUUAGUAAACAGAAUGUGGUAUCUCACAAUGAAAAUGCUUUGAAGCCUCUCAAGAAGAAUAGAAUUGUAGAAAUGUGUCCACACUCAGAGAAAGCUAGUCACUGUAUAUUACCAGUUAUAAAAAGAAAAUGGGCAAGGUUUUAAACAUUUGUGGAGUGUGAUGCUAUAAUUAUUUGGCAUCGUACCCUCUGAAUAUAUAUGUGGAAGGAUAUGAACAAACAUGUAACAAUGUUUAUCCUCUGGUCAUGGCAUAAUGGGCACAUUUUGCCUUCCAUUUGUUGGCUGUAGUUCCUGAUCUUCUCUACUGAGUAUGUAUUCCUUGAGCAAAUGCAAUGAUUUUUCUCUCAGGAUUCUCAGCCUUGAAAAUGUUGGGGUAAAGGGUCUCAUGACUGCAGUUUUUCUCAAAGAGCAAGAGCAGAGGAGACCCCAGACAUUCAGUGUAUUUAUUCCCCCCACCUUUCUGGGGGACCACACACUUGUGAAAGGUGAGAUCACGCCAAGCUCCUACAUCUCCUGGGACAGGCUGGGGUGGAGGCACUCAGGACUCACCGACUUGAUGGACGGGGGCGCAGACGUGCCCACAGCCCUUCCUCACGCACUGAUGUCCACUCCCACAGUCCCUGUCUUCUCUGCACUGGUGCUCGCAGGCCUCUGAUGAGAGGAAAGACUCGGUUAAAAGCUCUGAGGUCUUACAAUCAGAAAAAUAACAAUUUUAGGUAUGUUUACGCUAUCAUUCAAAAGUCAUCAGUUACCUAGAAAUAAAGCAAACAAGUUAUGUGCAGAACAAACAUUUUAAAUAUCUUCACGAAUGGAGAGAUAUGCCAUGUUCAUGAUGAAAACACUCAGUGUUACGAAGAUGUCCGUUUCCCUCAAACUGAAAUGGAAUAAAAUCCCAGAAGGCUUUUUCAUGAGAAUGGAUAAGCUGAUUCUAAAACUUUACAUGAAAAUCCAAAAAUGCGCAAUACUCAAGACAAACUUAAGCAACGUAGAAGGACUUCAGCAACCGUCCAUCAGGACUUGUUACACUGUGGCAGGGAACGAGAUGGUGUGGUGUUGGUACAAGAAGGGCAAGGAGACCAACGGGACAGAUACACACACAAUAUCCUUCGCUUACGACAAAGGACCCACUGCCAUACAAAAAAAGGGGAAAGAAUCGUCUUUCAGGAAAUGAGGAUGGAUCAACUGGACUGUCCAUAUGAAGAAAAAGAACACUGUCUCGUAUCUCACAUCACACAACAAACUCUGUCCCAAAUAGGUAUAGGACCUAAGGGAAAGGGAAAGCCAUAAAGCUUCUAGAAGAUAGUAAACAGUUUCAUCAUGGUCUUGGGAUAGGUAAAUAUUUUGUAAAUACUGCAGAAAUAUUAUCAUUAAAAUAGAGAGAUGAGAUCUCAUUAAAAUUAGGAAUUUUCUUCGUUGAAUGAAACCAUUAAGAGAGUGAAAAGAAAAGCUACAUUGGGAGAAACUGUUUACUUAUCCAGAAUCUCCUACAAAUCAAUGGGAACAAUACAGACAACCUAACAGAAAUAUGGGCAAAAGGAUUAAACAGAUACUUCAUAAACGAAAAAGUUGAAAGUUAUUAGAAAUAAUGUCAGAUUCUGGGAAGGUGGUUUUAGUUGUGCUGAUUGACAUGAUUUUUGAAUCUUCCAACAUCUUCCCAUAAAAACAUACAGAGCAAUUAAAAUAGCAAAACUGAAAACACAUAGACAACAAGACUGGGAAAAAAGGUUAUCCCCUCAAACUCCAAAUCUGAGUGGAGGGAAGGGGACAAAGCACCAUCCUCCACCAGCCCAGCGAGGGUCUGCUCUGUGCAGAGUCUGCGGGGGGCAGUGAGGUGACGGAUGGAGAAGUCCUGGGACCUUGUUCCCAGGACAACGUCCUGAGGAAUCCACUAGAGCCUGAUCUUCAGCCAAACAAACCCGAUUGGAGAGACAUCAACAUGGGGCCUAGUGAGGCCAUUAAAUAUGUAUUCACAGUAGAACUGAGACUCAUUUACAGUCUAUGGAGAGAGUCUAUGAACUAGCUUCAUGCUCUGACACUGGAAACACACUAUACCUAUCAAACACUGGGGAAGGGGAUGGAAAGAGCAUAUGAAGAGGAAAGGAAGUUUGAUACGUAUCUGAAGAUGGUUAAGUGGGAAUGCAAGGACAUUACCUAAGAGCAGCUGCUGGGGGUGGGGGCAUGGGCAGAGGGAGGAAGGAAAGGAGGAAAUGAGCUAAUUUUAUUAGGACU